AAGUCGUAACAAGGUUUCCGUAGGUGAACCUGCGGAAGGAUCAUUAUAAAAAUUUACAUUUUAAUAUGUAAAAAAAAAAAUGUAUUCAAAACCCAAUUCUUUAAAUCAUAAAAUAUAUAUUUUUAUAUAUAUAAAAAAAAUAAAUAAUAAAAUAAUAACAACUUUCAACAACGGAUCUCUUGGCUCUC
This 188-nucleotide unclassified non-coding RNA is filed under the name fungal sp. Its description in RNAcentral is "partial internal transcribed spacer region". The stretch from base 1 to 46 matches the Rfam family "Eukaryotic small subunit ribosomal RNA", at positions 1786 to 1831 of the family's 1831-position model. The record is from RNAcentral. Lineage: Eukaryota; Fungi.